GUGAGGAAUAUUGGACAAUGGGCGCAAGCCUGAUCCAGCCAUGCCGCGUGCAGGAAGACGCAUCUAUGGUGUGUAAACUGCUUUUGUACGGGAAGAAACACUCCCUCGUGAGGGAGCUUGACGGUACCGUAAGAAUAAGGAUCGGCUAACUCCGUGCCAGCAGCCGCGGUAAUACGGAGGAUCCAAGCGUUAUCCGGAAUCAUUGGGUUUAAAGGGUCCGUAGGCGGUUUAAUAAGUCAGUGGUGAAAGCCCAUCGCUCAACGAUGGAACGGCCAUCGAUACUGUUAGACUUGAAUUACAAGGAAGUAACUAGAAUAUGUAGUGUAGCGGUGAAAUGCUUAGAUAUUACAUGGAAUACCAAUUGCGAAGGCAGGUUACUACUUGUGGAUUGACGCUGAUGGACGAAAGCGUGGGGAGCGAACAGGAUUAGAUACCCCGGUAGUCC
RNAcentral lists this ribosomal RNA (445 nucleotides) under uncultured bacterium. Its description in RNAcentral is "partial 16S ribosomal RNA". It matches the Rfam family "Bacterial small subunit ribosomal RNA", at positions 354 to 796 of the family's 1533-position model. The record is from RNAcentral.